ACCAUCGAAGCACAUCGACCGUGUCAUUUCUGGUCAUCUACGAUCAGGGGUGUCAAAAAGGUGGUAUCAGAGCAUGGUUAUACGAUGCUUGAAUGGGACUUGUUUCAAAUAUUUUUUAAGUCAAAAUGAGUCGCAAGGAUAAAUAGGAUAUGCUGGCUGGUUCCUUCAUUUUAGGAUAGAUAGUCGUGGGUAGUUACCUAAAAGUGAUUUUUCAUAGCAGAAGCACCGAGAGAAGCUUGAACGGGUGGACCGUACUUACCGAUGUCACUAUCAUCAGGCUCCAGUUUGCUACCCUCAUGGUGGGGUUCACUGCCGUCUUGUUAGGAAUCAGUAACCUCAUGCCUUCCUGCCGUUCUUUUGAGUUCUAGUGGGGGGUGCCAAUUCUUUAGAGAGAUAUAUGGGAUAAAGUUGAUACAUCGAAUACAUCUCCGGACUCGUGUGUUAUCGAUGUCAAGGUGCGUGUUGUUUGUGAUCCGGUUCAGAGCGAUUUGACUACACUUGAUCACAUAGAUGCACUUAUUAUUCCGGUUUCUCAAGUCUAACCAGCUCAUGCUAAGAUGUAUAAGCACCAGAGCCAUACAAGCAUGAUUUCUUCAGAAUUUGUUUCAAGCUUAGCGUUAGAGGAAGAGAUGGUUUGAUUGUAUUACAAGAUAAUGGAAGCACCAGAAGCAUUCUGUUUGUAACGAAAUAUCAUGAAGCUUACGAUGCAUAACCUUUAAGGUUUUUGAAUCUCAAAUCAAAUCCCCUUGAUCAAAGAUCAAAGUUUCUCUAAAUCUCCUAAAACCCUAAUUUUGAAAAUUGGUUUUAAUUUUGAUUUGAAACUUGAAUAUUUGAUUGAUCGCCUAGAGCUAUGAUUAGGAUUGUUUUAAAAGUUGAAUCUGAAUCUUGUUUAAACUAAAACCCUAAUCUCGAAAUAUAAAAUUCCUAAGAGCAUCUUUAUUGCAGUUUCUUAUGAGGGGUUUUAAACUAAAUCACUGAUUUAUUUAAAUCAAAAGUAAAUAAUACAUCUGUAACCGAUCCUUAAUUGAGCAGUUUGGACACCGAUCAUUAGAAGAGUUCUAAACACACGUGUCUAACACACAAUGAAACAUAAAUUUAUUUUUUAUUUAUUUUUUCUCUUUAUUUUGGUUUCUUUCUCUUUCUUCCUCUUUUCUCAGUUUCUCAGAAAGAGGAACGAUGUGUUCUCCAUGAAUCCGACGAAGGCGGAUCUUUUCUUUCUGUUUCUGUUGAUAAAAAUUCAUUUGGUUUCCCUCUGAUGAAGAUCAGAGUCAUCCACUUUUCUCCGCUGUUUCUCGCAAACUUACCACUUGUUUCUCGUCGUGGAGGACUCAAUGGUCUUUGCUCAGCCGUGGAAGAACUGUUCCCUUGAGAAAAAGAUUCUUCUUGUUGCCUCCAAAAGCCACCACAGAGCUAUCAGGUUAAGUGGGAGGAGAAGAUGUGGAUAGAAACAUCAUGCUGUAUUGCAACAUCAACAAGGCUGAGAAGAGUUGAUGUGGGAAGGAAUCAGUGUUGUCAUUGAAACAGUAGGUUCUGAUGAACAUAUAUGUUGGAAGCUUCAAUGGCUUGUGUUGAAAUCCGAUCCUCAAUGAUGAAGAAUUUGAUCUGCUCAAACUCAAAGUUAAGGUUCUAUUCCACUCAAAAUACAUAUAUUCUCAUUCCUCUGAGCUUCAGUUUUUAAGGAUUUUUUCUACUUCUGUAGAUGGAUGGUAGCGAGAUUGCGAGUGAGGGUCCAAGGUGCAGUCUCGGUAGUAAGAAGGGAAGUAAUGUUGUGAUCGAGCAAAGUUGGAGAACAAAUACCCAUUACUCAAAGCAUUGAAUUCAAGGUUAAAGUCAAGAACGUUGGUGCCAGUCUUGUCAAGGUUAAUUCUAUUGUCUUGCUUUCUUGUUUAUUGCGUUCACAUGUGGAUAGUAGUUGAUAGUGAUGAAUGUUGGUUAGAGUUAGAUUGUUGUCAGUGAAUAUGGGUGUGAUUAAUGCUUGUUUUAGGACACGUUUUAGUUGAUAGUGAUGAAUGUGAUGAAUCUGAUGAAUGCUUGUGUGGUAUUUUUUUUUUUAAGAACUCUUAUGUAAGAAACCUCCAAUGGAGCACAAAAUUUAUAAGUUUCUUAACUAAAUUUCUUAACUAACUUUUAUUAUUAAACAAGUCAUUGAGAAACCCAAUUGGGGUUAUAGGGAUAAUGAUGCUCUAAAGGCCUUGAAACCUUAAAUCUCUCAUUACUUAAAACUUGAAAGAUUGAUUUAAAGUAUUAGAAAUAUUUACAUAUUGAAUGAGAGUUAGGGUGCUAGAUUAUUUAAUUCUAAAACCUAAUAGAUAUGCAACUAAGUAAUAGGAUUGAAUGCAUUUGGAUUAAUGAUCUCAUUUUGUAUAAGGCCGUGUGGCCUAAUACAUUGUUCAUACUUGCGGCCUUGUGCCCUUGCUUGAUUAAAAGCCGCGUGGCUUAGUGCACAUCUAUGUGGCCGUGUGGCCUAGCAUCCGGAUGGUAAUAUCAUGAUCCGAUCCUUAAGAUUGCUGUAUCACUAAUAUGGCCGUGUGGCCUAAAGCAUCACAUUGCAAAGCCGUGUGGCCUAAGCAUCAUAGAUAGACUUAUGAAAUCAUAUGCACUGAUUAUUUAAAAUAGUUGCAAUCUAAAUCAAGAAUUGAUUGAUAAUAUGAUUUCAGAUGCCGAGAUUUAAGCCUUUCGAUUAUGCCAUUCUAAAUCUCUCUGGAGAUAAUUAUCUAGAAUAGCCAACGAACACUUCAGUUGUCCUGAAAUCAAGAGGACUCGGAAGGAGUAUCAUUCAGGAUGAUUAUGCAACUAGAAGUGAAAAGUUAAGAGACAUUACAAUAAUGCGCCAACAUCUCACUGAGGAACUGAGAAAUCAGUAUCUAUAUAUUGAGAAUCCUCGUGACCUUUGGACAGAAUUAAAGUCCAGAUACACAAUAGUGUUAUUACCAAAGGUCAGACAUGAAUGGAUGAGUCUCAGAUACCAAGACUUUGAGUCUGUGGAUGAAUAUGACUUUGCUUUGUCCAAAGUCGUUUACAAACUCAGACUAUGUGGUGAAAUGGUAACACAGGAGGGUUUACUGGAAAAGAUCUUCCUCACAGCUGAUCCACGAGAUGAAAUAAGA
This is a long non-coding RNA of Brassica rapa (field mustard), 3107 nucleotides long. RefSeq lists it as uncharacterized. The record is from RefSeq and is a predicted model, not a curated record. Lineage: Eukaryota; Viridiplantae; Streptophyta; Magnoliopsida; Brassicales; Brassicaceae.